UGCAUGUGUAAGUAUAAAUAGUUAACUUUGAAACUGCGAAUGGCUCAUUAUAUCAGUUAUAGUUUAUUUGAUGAAGAAUACUAAUUGGAUAACCGUAGUAAUUCUAGAGCUAAUACAUGUAUAAAGUCUUGUAGACUGCAUUUAUUAGAAUGAAAACCAUAGGUUUCGGCCUAUUCGUGAGUAAUAAUAACUAAUCAUAUCGUAUGCUUAUGUAACGAUGUGUCUUUCAAGUUUCUGCCCUAUCAGCUUUCUAUGGUAGUGUAUUGGACUACCAUGGCGGUAACGGGUAACGAAGAAUUUGGGUUCGAUUUCUGAGAGGGAGCCUGAGAGAUGGCUACCACAUCCAAGGAAGGCAGCAGGCGCGUAAAUUACCCAAUCCUGACGCAGGGAGGUAGUGACAAUAAAUCACAAUGCGGAACAAUGUUUUGCAAUUGGAUUGAGAACAACGUACAAACCUUAUCGAUAAACAAUUGGAGGGCAAGUCUGGUGCCAGCAGCCGCGGUAAUUCCAGCUCCAAUAGCGUAUAUUAACGUUGUUGCAGUUAAAAA
Molecule: ribosomal RNA, 548 nt
Filed under: Blastocystis sp. subtype 3
Lineage: Eukaryota; Bigyra; Opalinata; Blastocystidae
Description: partial small subunit ribosomal RNA
Rfam family: Eukaryotic small subunit ribosomal RNA
Source: RNAcentral